CACACAUGCAGAGGCAACUCCUGUUGCCACCUUCAGAUGUAACUUUCCACACCCUCGUCUAUCAAUGUGCACCCAUCAUAUUUUACAGAGAUAGGAUCAGGAUGUUCACAUUGUUUCACAGCUUGUAAGACUUUAUUUUUAAAAAUGUUAAGUGACACACAAAAUGUUGAAAAAAAUCACCACUCUAUGUGAUGCAAGUCCAAAUACAAAACAUUAAAACAAACAACUUCCUUCCCAAAGCCAGGUAUGGGUUUAUUUUAUUUUUUUUUAACCAGGUUGCCAUUAUGAAGAAAUUGCUGUGCUCAUCAACUUACUUUGAACCAAGCUGUUCUUUACCGAAUGCCCUGAAGUCAUUGGAAAGUCACACUACCUUGCUUUAAAGUGAAGAAUUAGAAUUGUUUCUCUGAAGAUGAGGGAGGUGCAUGAAGGAUGUCAGGUACAACAGUGGUACGGUUUGGAUCUUAAAUUUCUAAAGCCACGUAGGCCUUGAUUCAAACUCCAGUGUGAAUAUUCAGUUGAAUGAAUCUAAACAGUUUCUGAAGCAGUUUAAGGCUCAGUUUUUACAUUGAUGGUAAAAGUAACAUCUCUCCUGCAGGACGGCUCUGUGAAUGGAAGGAAACAGCUCGAUCCAGGUCUCUAGACGUGACAAGCAUUGACUCAGUGGAAAGUCCUGCGAUUUUUGUGGUUUUUAGACCAGGCAGAUCUGGGCAUGACUAGAGGAGGUUUUUCCUGGGACGCAGAAGGCGGUUGUAAUCCCAGAGUCCGGAUGCCCUCGUUAGAAUUCUGGGCCUGUAAUUCGCCUUGCUGGGGUGUCCUCCGCAAGACUUUCAGCUUCUCUGAUCCUCAUUUUUCUUAUCUGAAAUAGGCCUGUCUCACAGAGCUAAUUCCCAAAACUUCUGUGUAUUUGUGGCAGCCGUGUGUAUGCUAUUGAGAACUGGACGGGAGUGAAAGAGAGUGAUGAAGACAACAGUCUAUACAGCAUCUCCUAUUACCUGUUAGCUCAGUGCUUCAUGUGCAUUACCUCACUGAAUUCUCGCAACAGCCCAAAAAGGUCAUAAUCAUCUGGAGAGACACAUUGGCAGAGAGACUACCUUAAUACAAUGGGAGGAAGCGAUGAACAAACUGCGGUGCAUUCACACAACAGCGGUGCUACACAGCAGCGAAGAGGAGCAGCCGACUGACACGCACAACAACUCGGAUCUCAGGAGCAUCGCACCGAGCUGGAGAAGCCAGACACGAGCCGCUGCACACCGUAUGAUUCCAUGGCAUUCUGGGAAAGGCAAAACUCCAAGCACAGAGAACGCAUGAGUUGUUGCCCAGGUUUGGGGUUCCAGGAAGAGGAUGGAUUACUAAGAAGCACAGGGGAAUGUUUUGGGGUGAUGAAAAUGUUGUAUGUCUUGUCUUUUUCUUUUCUUUUUGUGAAACAGAGUUUCACUCUUGUCGUCCAGGCUGGAGAGCAAUGGUGUGAUCUCAGCUCACUGCAACCUGCACCUCCCAGGUUCAAGCAAUUCUCCAGCCUCAGCCUCUUGAAUAACUGAGAUUACAGGCACAUGCCUCCCCGCCCAGCUAAUUUUUGUAUUUUUAGUAGAGACGGGUUUUCACCAUGUUGGUCAGGCUGGUCUUGAACUCCUGA
Molecule: long non-coding RNA, 1633 nt
Organism: Homo sapiens (human)
Lineage: Eukaryota; Metazoa; Chordata; Mammalia; Primates; Hominidae
Product: long intergenic non-protein coding RNA 3022
Source: Ensembl